This 440-nucleotide ribosomal RNA is filed under the name uncultured bacterium. RNAcentral's name for it is "partial 16S ribosomal RNA". It matches the Rfam family "Bacterial small subunit ribosomal RNA", at positions 338 to 795 of the family's 1533-position model. The record is from RNAcentral.
CCUACGGGUGGCAGCAGUGGGGAAUAUUGGACAAUGGGGGAAACCCUGAUCCAGCGACGCCGCGUGAGUGAAGAAGUAUUUCGGUACGUAAAGCGCUAUCAGCAGGAAAGAAAAUGACGGUACCUGACUAAGAAGCCCCGGCUAACUACGUGCCAGCAGCCGCGGUAAUCCGUAGGGGGCAAGCGGUAUCCGGAUUUACUGGGUGUAAAGGGAGCGUAGACGGCAGCACAAGUCUGGAGUGAAAUCCCGGGGCUUAACCCCGGAACUGCUUUGGAAACUGUGCGGCUGGAGUGCAGGAGGGGUAAGCGGAAUUCCUAGUGUAGCGGUGAAAUGCGUAGAUAUUAGGAGGAACACCGGUGGCGAAGGCGGCUUACUGGACUGUAACUGACGUUGAGGCUCGAAAGCGUGGGUAUCGAACAGGAUUAGAUACCCCAGUAGUC